RNAcentral lists this ribosomal RNA (506 nucleotides) under uncultured bacterium. Its description in RNAcentral is "bacterial SSU rRNA". It matches the Rfam family "Bacterial small subunit ribosomal RNA", at positions 28 to 527 of the family's 1533-position model. The record is from RNAcentral.
GAUUAACGCUAGCGGCAGGCCUAACACAUGCAAGUCGAGGGGCAGCACGGGGUAGCAAUACUCUGGUGGCGACCGGCGCACGGGUGAGUAACGCGUAUGCAACCUACCUUUAACAGGAAGAUAGCCCCGAGAAAUCGGGAUUAAUACUCCAUAAUGAUUAAAAGCUGCAUGGUUUUUAAUUUAAAGUUCCGACGGUUAAAGAUGGGCAUGCGUGACAUUAGUUAGUUGGUGAGGUAACGGCUCACCAAGACUACGAUGUCUAGGGGUUCUGAGAGGAUUAUCCCCCACACUGGUACUGAGACACGGACCAGACUCCUACGGGAGGCAGCAGUGAGGAAUAUUGGUCAAUGGUCGCAAGACUGAACCAGCCAUGCCGCGUGCAGGAUGAAUGUUCUAUGAAUUGUAAACUGCUUUUCUAAGGGAAGAAACCUAUCCUCGUGAGGGUAGUUGCCGGUACCUUAGGAAUAAGCAUCGGCUAACUCCGUGCCAGCAGCCGCGGUAAUGUA